Molecule: ribosomal RNA, 1443 nt
Filed under: uncultured organism
Description: SSU rRNA
Rfam family: Bacterial small subunit ribosomal RNA
Source: RNAcentral
GAUGAACGCUAGCUACAGGCUUAACACAUGCAAGUCGAGGGGCAGCAUGGUCUUAGCUUGCUAAGGCCGAUGGCGACCGGCGCACGGGUGAGUAACACGUAUCCAACCUGCCGUCUACUCUUGGACAGCCUUCUGAAAGGAAGAUUAAUACAAGAUGGCAUCAUGAGUCCGCAUGUUCACAUGAUUAAAGGUAUUCCGGUAGACGAUGGGGAUGCGUUCCAUUAGAUAGUAGGCGGGGUAACGGCCCACCUAGUCUUCGAUGGAUAGGGGUUCUGAGAGGAAGGUCCCCCACAUUGGAACUGAGACACGGUCCAAACUCCUACGGGAGGCAGCAGUGAGGAAUAUUGGUCAAUGGGCGAGAGCCUGAACCAGCCAAGUAGCGUGAAGGAUGACUGCCCUAUGGGUUGUAAACUUCUUUUAUAAAGGAAUAAAGUCGGGUAUGGAUACCCGUUUGCAUGUACUUUAUGAAUAAGGAUCGGCUAACUCCGUGCCAGCAGCCGCGGUAAUACGGAGGAUCCGAGCGUUAUCCGGAUUUAUUGGGUUUAAAGGGAGCGUAGAUGGAUGUUUAAGUCAGUUGUGAAAGUUUGCGGCUCAACCGUAAAAUUGCAGUUGAUACUGGAUAUCUUGAGUGCAGUUGAGGCAGGCGGAAUUCGUGGUGUAGCGGUGAAAUGCUUAGAUAUCACGAAGAACUCCGAUUGCGAAGGCAGCCUGCUAAGCUGCAACUGACAUUGAGGCUCGAAAGUGUGGGUAUCAAACAGGAUUAGAUACCCUGGUAGUCCACACGGUAAACGAUGAAUACUCGCUGUUUGCGAUAUACUGCAAGCGGCCAAGCGAAAGCGUUAAGUAUUCCACCUGGGGAGUACGCCGGCAACGGUGAAACUCAAAGGAAUUGACGGGGGCCCGCACAAGCGGAGGAACAUGUGGUUUAAUUCGAUGAUACGCGAGGAACCUUACCCGGGCUUAAAUUGCAGAUGAAUUACGGUGAAAGCCGUAAGCCGCAAGGCAUCUGUGAAGGUGCUGCAUGGUUGUCGUCAGCUCGUGCCGUGAGGUGUCGGCUUAAGUGCCAUAACGAGCGCAACCCUUGUUGUCAGUUACUAACAGGUUCCGCUGAGGACUCUGACAAGACUGCCAUCGUAAGAUGUGAGGAAGGUGGGGAUGACGUCAAAUCAGCACGGCCCUUACGUCCGGGGCUACACACGUGUUACAAUGGGGGGUACAGAGGGCCGCUACCACGCGAGUGGAUGCCAAUCCCCAAAACCUCUCUCAGUUCGGACUGGAGUCUGCAACCCGACUCCACGAAGCUGGAUUCGCUAGUAAUCGCGCAUCAGCCACGGCGCGGUGAAUACGUUCCCGGGCCUUGUACACACCGCCCGUCAAGCCAUGGGAGCCGGGGGUACCUGAAGUGCGUAACCGCGAGGAGCGCCCUAGGGUAAAACUGGUGAC